Molecule: long non-coding RNA, 732 nt
Organism: Labrus mixtus (cuckoo wrasse)
Lineage: Eukaryota; Metazoa; Chordata; Actinopteri; Labriformes; Labridae
Exons: 3
Source: RefSeq, a predicted model, not a curated record
UUGCAUUAAAAAUAACUCAUAAAAAGUACACAACAUUCCGUGCUAAUAUGAAUGUUGCUGUUUUUUUUUACUUCCUCAUUUUUAAGUCAAUUAUUGCAUGCUGUUUGGAAAGGUGGCCAAAUGAUGAGGAACUUCACUUCUCUAAACAUCCUUCACCUCUCUGCUCAAAAAGACCUGACAAAAAGACUUUCUGCCUCUUCUGAAACACAAAGAUGGCUGCAGCUCUGACUCUCCUCCUCAUUGGCUGUCUGCUGCAAGGUGCCCUGUGUGGAAAGUUUGGGAGCAUUAUACCAAAUACUAUAGAGGUUCUGAAGAGAUCCUGUGUGACAAUCCCCUGCUCCUUUGACAUAGAUGAUCAAUAUAAUGUCAAAUUAGAUAACACAUGUAAAGCAUUAUGGAAAGAAAGUACUAAUGGACCUGCUGUGUUUGAUAGCAGUAAUCCACAACAGAAAGGACAAUUGAUUGGUGACCUAACAAAAAAAGACUGCACCACAACCCUGAAUGACAUGCAAAACAACAAAGUGUAUUUUUUUAGAUUGGAAUGUUUCGGUCUGAAAUACAAUUUUGAUGAUGUGAAAAUUUCAGUCACAGGUAGGUUUCAAAUUAAAUGUAUUAACAGUUCAGUCAUGUAGUAGUUCUCUGACCUUAUCAUUGAUUACUUUAAAAUAAAGAUAAAUCAAACCUUUGAUAGUAGAGAGAAAUAACUGCUUAUACAUGUUUAUGUAUCUUCUG